Molecule: ribosomal RNA, 408 nt
Filed under: uncultured Peyronellaea
Lineage: Eukaryota; Fungi; Ascomycota; Dothideomycetes; Pleosporales; Didymellaceae
Description: eukaryotic LSU rRNA
Rfam family: 5.8S ribosomal RNA (bases 102-255)
Source: RNAcentral
GUCUUUUGAGUACCUUCGUUUCCUCGGCGGGUCCGCCCGCCGAUUGGACAAUUUAAACCAUUUGCAGUUGCAAUCAGCGUCUGAAAAAACUUAAUAGUUACAACUUUCAACAACGGAUCUCUUGGUUCUGGCAUCGAUGAAGAACGCAGCGAAAUGCGAUAAGUAGUGUGAAUUGCAGAAUUCAGUGAAUCAUCGAAUCUUUGAACGCACAUUGCGCCCCUUGGUAUUCCAUGGGGCAUGCCUGUUCGAGCGUCAUUUGUACCUUCAAGCUCUGCUUGGUGUUGGGUGUUUGUCUCGCCUCUGCGCGCAGACUCGCCUCAAAACAAUUGGCAGCCGGCGUAUUGAUUUCGGAGCGCAGUACAUCUCGCGCUUUGCACUCAUAACGACGACGUCCAAAAGUACAUUUUU